AAUAUGAUUACUGGAUAGUAUGGCCAGAUGUGUUUAGUUUUGUAAUUAACUAUCAAACUGUUUUCAAAGUGGCUGUACCAUUUUACAUUCCCAUUAGCAAU
Molecule: microRNA precursor, 101 nt
Filed under: Marmota monax (woodchuck)
Lineage: Eukaryota; Metazoa; Chordata; Mammalia; Rodentia; Sciuridae
Source: RNAcentral